UCGAACGGGCCUGGCAACAGGUCAGUGGCGCAAGGGUGAGUAAGGCGACGGUAACCAACCCCAUGGUCGGGUAUAGCCGCGGGAAACUGCGGGUAAUCCCCAGCGAUGUACGAGGCCGGCAUCGGCGUUGUACCAAAGCUCCGGCGCCGUGGGACGGGCCGUUGUGGUAUUAGGUAGUUGGCGGGGUAACGGCCCACCAAGCCUCUGAUGCCUACCGGGCGUGCGAGCGUGGCCCGGCACACUGGGACUGAGACACUGCCCAGACUCCUACGGGAGGCUGCAGUCGAGAAUCUUCGGCAAUGGGCGCAAGCCUGACCGAGCGACGCCGCGUGGAGGAUGAAGGCCUUCGGGUUGUAAACUCCUGUCGAGGGGGAGGAAGGGGCAACCUUGACCGAUCCCUGGAGGAAGCACGGGCUAAGUUCGUGCCAGCAGCCGCGGUAAGACGAACCGUGCGAACGUUAUUCGGAAUCACUGGGCUUAAAGCGCGUGUAGGCGGAUGGGAACGUCGGUCUUUGAAAGCCCCCGGCUCAACCGGGGAAGCGGAGCCGAAACGACCGAUCUGGAGGGACGUAGGGGGACCUGGAACUUCCGGUGGAGCGGUGAAAUGCGUUGAGAUCGGAAGGAACGCCCGUGGCGAAAGCGAGGUCCUGGACGUCUGCUGACGCUGAGACGCGAAAGCUAGGGGAGCAAACGGGAUUAGAUACCCCGGUAGUCCUAGCCGUAAACGAUGGGCACUGGGU
RNAcentral lists this ribosomal RNA (740 nucleotides) under uncultured bacterium. RNAcentral's name for it is "bacterial SSU rRNA". It matches the Rfam family "Bacterial small subunit ribosomal RNA", at positions 62 to 821 of the family's 1533-position model. The record is from RNAcentral.